RNAcentral lists this unclassified non-coding RNA (1711 nucleotides) under Rhipicephalus microplus (southern cattle tick). Its description in RNAcentral is "uncharacterized LOC119174939, transcript variant X2". Lineage: Eukaryota; Metazoa; Arthropoda; Arachnida; Ixodida; Ixodidae. The record is from RNAcentral.
UCAAGGGACAUAAGACAAUUUUGUAUGGCUCGGUCAGCACCACCCAACACAUUCAGAUGGCGCACUCAGCAGAAGCCUGCAGCAACUGUACGCCGGCGACAGCCCGUUCGGGAGGAGCCGCGGCUACGGCCACGACUUGGAUUGGAUAUUGGGCCACCACCGGGCGAGGCCCAACAAGCGGCUCUCCGAGUUCUUGGGCGGUCCCGGCAAGCGAUACUCCGAAUUCCUGGGUGGUCCUGGAAAAAGAUACUCCGAAUUUCUGGGUGGCCCGGGAAAGCGCUACUCGGAGUUCCUCGGCGGCCCCGGAAAGCGGUCCGUUGCCGAUGACGUCAUGGCUGCUGCGGCCGAGCGCGGUCUGCUCCAUUCGGCGGAGCAGCAGGAGCCAGGCUCCGCCGCCAGCACCCUCCGGAAGUGACGCGUCCUCUGACGUAUUUGCGCCGAGAAAAAAAAAAAGUCAUGACCGAUCAAAACCUUUCAUCUCCCUUCAUUAUAGUUUGCACACUUCGUUGUCCUGUUGAGGAUGAACGUGCUUUGUUAUAUAUGCGCCUUGAACGAAAGAAAAAUAAACGUCGCUAAAUGACGGCCCAGCCUGAAGACGUUGUGAAAACACCACUAUAUUGUUAGCAAGAAUCUUGCGUUUCCGAUCACCUCGGCCUGCCUGUUGCGAAUGUAGGCUUCCAAUGGGUUCGUUUCGAUUACAAAAUUCCUACCUACCUGAUCAGUAGUUAUCUGUAAUUAUUCGCUCUUAUUCGUCGGAUGUGAGUCCAUCCGUAUAUGACUCUCUCGGCGAUGCAAUUACAAACUGCUCGCAUCUGCAGCCGUAGGUAUUCUGUAAAUAAAUUGUGUCUAUUCCUCUAUCUCUCUCUCUCUCUCGUCUUGACGUGUGAUAUGUAACGACAUGUGAUGUAUACCUCCUGUCCUUAUCACGAGAUACACCGCAUUAAGAGAGAAUAGCUGACCUGCGUUAUCACUAUGGGUCGUGGACUAAAAUAAACGAAUGUGUUAUUUCUUUUCUUUUUAUCCGUCGACCGCCCACGCGAACCGACUAAUACAUGAGCUUCGAUGAACCAUUUUCAUAGUUCUGCUAUCUUACUGCUUUAAUUGAUCUAUCAGUAUACGCACGCCUGCUCUGUUUUCUUCAAAAGAACUUGAGGGCAGUGUUAUCGUUAAUGCCCUGCGAUGAGAAGAAAAUGUGAAAAUUAUAAAGUAAACAAUUGAGAUCUACCGUUUCGCUUGUAAACAUGCGUUUGAGAGUAACAGAGAAACACUGACCGUCUUAUCUGAAGUUUGAGUGCUACUUUUCCAAUCAUCUCAACCGACGUGGCGAACACAUUCACUGGCAAUACUGAACACAACAUGACGUCAGAGGCAUCCUAUUGAUAAGCAGACCGAAGCGUGCCGGGGACUUUGCUGUUUAAAACACGCGGAGAUUGUGUAACACGUUAACAUUAUGAAAUCAAAACUAUACAACAAUGGGUGACCGUUCAUUUUCCCGCCGUGUCCUUGUCGCAGGCUUCUUGUCUAGUCGCCCCAAAUGUGUUGACCGAUGCUUUUUUGCAGAGAAGAACGCCGAGUGACUUCAAAGAUAAUGAGAAAUAAAAACAAAAUACAAUCAAAAAUAAAGACUUACCGUUGAUAUAGAUCGUGACCUAUGAUGUCGAACAAAACAAUAAAAAGUACAGUUGGGUUAUAAACACCUGCUUUGUCUUCA